This 226-nucleotide long non-coding RNA is filed under the name Medicago truncatula (barrel medic). Its description in RNAcentral is "long non-coding RNA (MTRU_LNC003120)". The record is from RNAcentral. Lineage: Eukaryota; Viridiplantae; Streptophyta; Magnoliopsida; Fabales; Fabaceae.
GGGUAUAUGGGUAGUUAUUUCCAUUUUAGUACCAUUUACAUGAGAAUCUUUUAUUCCCGCCCACUUUCUUUGGGAAUAAAAUCAUGGGUAAGUGGAAGUUAUUUUUUUCCUAUGAAUUCUUUAUUUCCGGGAGUUAUUUUUUUAACUUUGUAACAAACAUAGGAAUCUAUAAUUCCAACCUCCAUGUUCCUGGGAAUAAUUUUUUAAACCAGGAAACAAACACCCC